AUUAAGCUGACGAGUCCUAAAUAGGACGAAAUGCACAUCUUGGAU
Molecule: non-coding RNA, 45 nt
Filed under: Schistosoma mattheei
Lineage: Eukaryota; Metazoa; Platyhelminthes; Trematoda; Strigeidida; Schistosomatidae
Source: RNAcentral